RNAcentral lists this ribosomal RNA (393 nucleotides) under uncultured microorganism. Its description in RNAcentral is "bacterial SSU rRNA". It matches the Rfam family "Archaeal small subunit ribosomal RNA", at positions 330 to 724 of the family's 1478-position model. The record is from RNAcentral.
GUGCAGCAGGCGAGAAAACUUCACACUGUGCGAAAGCACGAUGAGGGAAUCCCAAGUGCUUGCACGUAAGUGUAAGCUGUUUCUCUGUCUAAAACGCAGAGAGAGUAAGGGCUGGGUAAGACGGGUGCCAGCCGCCGCGGUAAUACCUGCAGCUCAAGUGGUGACCGUUAUUAUUGGGCCUAAAACGUCCGUAGCCGGUUUAAUAAAUGCCUGGGUAAAUUGUGUAGCUUAACUAUACGAAUUCCGGGUAGACUGUUAAACUUGAGACCGGGAGAAGUUAGAGGUACUCCUGGGGUAGAGGUGAAAUUCUGUAAUCCUAGGGGGACCACCAGUGGCGAAGGCGUCUAACUAGAACGGGUCUGACGGUGAGGGACGAAGCCCUGGGGCGCAAAC